This 430-nucleotide ribosomal RNA is filed under the name uncultured bacterium. Its description in RNAcentral is "bacterial SSU rRNA". It matches the Rfam family "Bacterial small subunit ribosomal RNA", at positions 355 to 776 of the family's 1533-position model. The record is from RNAcentral.
UGAGGAAUUUUGCGCAAUGGGAGCAAUCCUGACGCAGCAACGCCGCGUGGGUGAAGAAGGCCUUCGGGUCGUAAAGCCCUGUCAGGCGGGAAGAAGCCCCUGGGGGGAAUACCCUGCGGGGGGUGACGGUACCGCCAGAGGAAGCACCGGCUAACUCCGUGCCAGCAGCCGCGGUAAUACGGAGGGUGCGAGCGUUAUUCGGAAUUACUGGGCGUAAAGCGCGUGCAGGCGGGAGGACAAGUCUGAUGUGAAAGCCCGGGGCUCAACCCCGGAAGGGCAUUGGAAACUGUCUUUCUUGAGUGUUGGAGAGGAAGGGGGAAUUCCCGGUGUAGAGGUGAAAUUCGUAGAGAUCGGGAGGAAUACCAGUGGCGAAGGCGCCCUUCUGGACGACAACUGACGCUGAGACGCGAAAGCGUGGGGAGCAAACAGG